GGGGUUGUGGCUCAGUGGUAAAGUGCUCGCCUAGUAUGUGUGAGUCCCUGGGUUCGGUUCUCAGCCCCCA
RNAcentral lists this transfer RNA (70 nucleotides) under Marmota monax (woodchuck). It matches the Rfam family "tRNA". Rfam says of the family: Transfer RNA (tRNA) molecules are approximately 80 nucleotides in length. Their secondary structure includes four short double-helical elements and three loops (D, anti-codon, and T loops). The record is from Rfam by way of RNAcentral. Lineage: Eukaryota; Metazoa; Chordata; Mammalia; Rodentia; Sciuridae.